This 387-nucleotide long non-coding RNA is filed under the name Gossypium barbadense (sea-island cotton). RNAcentral's name for it is "long non-coding RNA (GBAR_LNC014700)". The record is from RNAcentral. Lineage: Eukaryota; Viridiplantae; Streptophyta; Magnoliopsida; Malvales; Malvaceae.
UGUUGAACCUGGUUCAGUAACUCCAACGGGUCAGCAGCAGCAGAGGAAGCCUAGGUAUAGGGAGUGUUUGAAGAACCAUGCGGUGGGGAUCGGCGGUCACGCUCUCGACGGUUGCGGUGAGUUCAUGCCGGCUGGAACUGAAGGCACCCUCGACGCUCUCAAAUGCGCGGCUUGUAACUGCCACCGUAACUUCCACCGCAAGGAAUCUGAGCUUGGCUCCCCAAACUCCAUCCACACCACGGACCUCUACUUCCAUCACCACCACCACCACCAGCCACCGCAAUUUGCGCCUUACUUCAGAGCACCAACAGGGUACCUCCACGUUGCCGGACAACAAAGGCCAUUAGCUUUACCAUCAACCUCAGGAGGAGGAGGACACAGCAGAGA